Molecule: long non-coding RNA, 840 nt
Organism: Helianthus annuus (common sunflower)
Lineage: Eukaryota; Viridiplantae; Streptophyta; Magnoliopsida; Asterales; Asteraceae
Exons: 5
Source: RefSeq, a predicted model, not a curated record
UCACACCCUGUUCUCUCCCUCCCUCACCAAUUCCGACGACCGGAGCUACGUUUCCGGCGACACCCGCACACCAGUCACCUCCCCCUCCUCCCUCAUUCACUCACAACACCCCUCACCUCCUUCUUCUCCGACGUGGCUCGGCCGACGACCAACCACCUCUUUUUCUCGAUCAGCACCACCGGUGGCGAGAGAGAGAGAGAGAGAGAUAGAGAGAGAGAGAAGCAGGCGGCAGCGACAGUAGACGUCGCAGACGACGGCGACAGACGCCGCAGACGGCGGUGGCGGUUCCGGUGUGUCUGGAUCAGAUUUCGUUUCAGUUCUGUCUUUCGGUUCCAGUCCAACCUAGUUCGGGUCGAGUCACACCAGUGGGCUCGGUUUGCAUUUGGGUCCAGCUUCAGCUCCGUUCCAGUCUCAGUUCAGACUCGGUUCAGAUUCGGUGUGAUGUGUGACUUGGGUUCGUUUGGCUCGGGUCAGGUCUAAUCGCAAGUCGGGUCCCCAUUCAGUUCGGGUCAGCGAGUUCAGUGCCGGGUUGUUAACGGGUCUGGUUCGGUAGUCGCGGCUCACGUCCAGUUCGGGUCAGAUUCGAUGUCUGGUUCUAGCUCGAGUCUCAGUCUAGUUUCUAUUCAGGUCGAACCCGGUCAAAGUCAGUCAAACCCGGUCAACGCACGGCCAAACCGGUUGACUGAUCGAUACGCGUUAAACACGAGACUCGGUUUGAUAAUGGGUGACCUCGGUGUUCCAUACUCCUAAUCUCAUACGCUCGUCGACACUUGGAUAAUCGGAAGACUUAGCAAUUCUGUUGACAGUCAAGAUGUUGAAGAAUCAAGUUAGGAUGGACUA